UCCUACGGGAGGCAGCAGUGAGGAAUAUUGGUCAAUGGGCGGGAGCCUGAACCAGCCAAGCCGCGUGAGGGAAGAAGGUACAGCGUAUCGUAAACCUCUUUUGUCAGGGAACAAAGGCGGGGACUAGUCCCCGGAUGAGGGUACCUGAAGAAAAAGCAUCGGCUAACUCCGUGCCAGCAGCCGCGGUAAUACGUAGGUGGCAAGCGUUAUCCGGAUUUAUUGGGCGUAAAGCGAGUGCAGGCGGCUGGUUAGGUCUGAAGUGAAAGGCGUCGGCGUAA
RNAcentral lists this ribosomal RNA (278 nucleotides) under uncultured bacterium. RNAcentral describes it as "partial 16S ribosomal RNA". It matches the Rfam family "Bacterial small subunit ribosomal RNA", at positions 337 to 612 of the family's 1533-position model. The record is from RNAcentral.